CUGGAAAAGAUAGAGUUAAUAGAAUGUGGAGUUAAGGCAGAAAACAUCUGUGCUUUAAAGACAGAAUAUUUGAUUCUGCAUUUUUUGGCUUCUUGCUCAGUAAUUUUUAACUGUAGGUCUUUAGUUCAGCAAUCAGGUCUUUAUGCUUUCUUCGCUCUCACAUGUUUUCUGUGUGCUCACGUCUGUUCUACGUGCUGCUGCUAUGACAGUCUUCCUAAAAAACAAUCUUCUUAUGGUACUUCCCUCCUCAGAAAUCUCCAGAACCUACCAGCUAAAGUUCAAAUUCCUCACCUUGGUCCUGAAAGCCCACCUCAUCUGGUCCUAACUUACUGUCCAGUCUUUUCCUACACCAGCACUCUGCUCCACCCAAAUAUACUUAUCCCACUUCAGGAGCCAUCAACUUUCAGGUUGCUGGCAUUGGGCAGAAUCAAGAAACCUCGGCCAGCCCCGGUUUCCUCCCGAGGUAUGGCACUUUAUUAAGAAUGUGCUAGAGCUGGGGCUGUAAUGCUGUUAAUGCAAUUGGUUUCCUAGUCAGAUAGCUGUGAACAGAAUUUGAAGGCAGGGAUAGAUCUUUUCAGAUCAAUUGCACUUGUAGCUUAUAAUGCCAAGAAACCUCUUCAGUGUACUGUAUUUAAAAAGCAACUCAUAAUCCAUAUUGUAGUUUAGAAAAUAUCACAGGAGAGGAAAGUAUCCAGAUAAAUUUUGGAUUUCAGUUAUCCUUUCCAGUGCUAUUAUUGUAUAAGAAAUUCUUAUAACUGAAAAUAAAGGUUUAGAAAAAUAGUUUAACA
This 788-nucleotide long non-coding RNA is filed under the name Vulpes vulpes (red fox). RNAcentral's name for it is "lncRNA (ENSVVUG00000029742.1)". Lineage: Eukaryota; Metazoa; Chordata; Mammalia; Carnivora; Canidae. The record is from RNAcentral.